CGAGACGUAGCUUUAACAAAAGCAUUCAGCUUACACCUGAAAGAUACCUAUUAAAUUGGGUCGUCUUGA
This 69-nucleotide transfer RNA is filed under the name Oriolus chinensis (black-naped oriole). RNAcentral's name for it is "tRNA-Val". Lineage: Eukaryota; Metazoa; Chordata; Aves; Passeriformes; Corvidae. The record is from RNAcentral.